GAUGAACGUUGGCGGCGUGCCUAACACUUGCAAGUCGAGCGAUUUACUUCGGUAAAGAGCGGCGGACGGGUGAGUAACGCGUGGGUAACCUGCCCUGUACACACGGAUAACAUACCGAAAGGUAUGCUAAUACGAGAUAAUAUGCUUUUAUCGCAUGGUAGAAGUAUCAAAGCUUUUGCGGUACAGGAUGGACCCGCGUCUGAUUAGCUAGUUGGUAAGGUAACGGCUUACCAAGGCGACGAUCAGUAGCCGACCUGAGAGGGUGAUCGGCCACAUUGGAACUGAGACACGGUCCAAACUCCUACGGGAGGCAGCAGUGGGGAAUAUUGCACAAUGGGCGAAAGCCUGAUGCAGCAACACCGCGUGAGCGAUGAAGGCCUUCGGGUCGUAAAGCUCUGUCCUCAAGGAAGAUAAUGACGGUACUUGAGGAGGAAGCCCCGGCUAACUACGUGCCAGCCGCCGCAGUAA
RNAcentral lists this ribosomal RNA (468 nucleotides) under uncultured bacterium. Its description in RNAcentral is "partial 16S ribosomal RNA". It matches the Rfam family "Bacterial small subunit ribosomal RNA", at positions 28 to 523 of the family's 1533-position model. The record is from RNAcentral.